RNAcentral lists this ribosomal RNA (263 nucleotides) under uncultured bacterium. Its description in RNAcentral is "partial 16S ribosomal RNA". It matches the Rfam family "Bacterial small subunit ribosomal RNA", at positions 793 to 1055 of the family's 1533-position model. The record is from RNAcentral.
GUCCACGCCGUAAACGAUGGAUGCUAGCCGUUGGCCAGCUUGCUGGUCAGUGGCGCCGCUAACGCUUUAAGCAUCCCGCCUGGGGAGUACGGUCGCAAGAUUAAAACUCAAAGGAAUUGACGGGGGCCCCGCACAAGCGGUGGAGCAUGUGGUUUAAUUCGAAGCAACGCGCAGAACCUUACCAGCCUUUGACAUGCCCGGCUACACGGAGAGAUCCGUGGUUCCCUUCGGGGACCGGGACACAGGUGCUGCAUGGCUGUCGU